GAUGAAUAACGUAGCGAAAUGCGAUACGUAAUGUGAAUUGCAGAAUUCAGUGAAUCAUCGAAUCUUUGAACGCAUAUUGCGCUCUCUGGUAUUCCGGAGAGCAUGCUUGUUUGAGUAUCAGUAAACACCUCAACUUCCAUAUCUUUUUUGAAAUGGGAGUUGGACUUGAGUGAUCCCAACGCUUUUCCUCACCGAAAAGUGGCGGGUUACUUGAAAUGCAGGUGCAGCUGGACUUUUCUCUGAGCUAUAAGCAUAUCUAUUUAGUCUGCCUAAAAAACAGAUUAUUACCUUUGCUGCAGCUAACAUAAAGGAGAUUAGUUCUUGUGCUGACUGAUGCAGGAUUCACAAAGACAGCUUCGGCCGACUUUGUAAACUCGAUCUCAAAUCAAGUAAGACUACCCGCUGAACUUAAGCAUAUCAAUAAGCGGAGGA
RNAcentral lists this unclassified non-coding RNA (432 nucleotides) under soil metagenome. Its description in RNAcentral is "partial contains 5.8S ribosomal RNA, internal transcribed spacer 2, and large subunit ribosomal RNA". The stretch from base 1 to 120 matches the Rfam family "5.8S ribosomal RNA", at positions 35 to 154 of the family's 154-position model. The record is from RNAcentral.